Dreissena polymorpha is the source of this 888-nucleotide long non-coding RNA. RefSeq lists it as uncharacterized. NCBI's taxonomy places the organism in Eukaryota, Metazoa, Mollusca, Bivalvia, Myida, Dreissenidae. The transcript is spliced from 3 exons. The record is from RefSeq and is a predicted model, not a curated record.
GACCUGUAAACCAAUUGGACGACAGUUCAGACAGAGCUAUAGACCCAUUUCGACACCGCCUACAAAUGCACGCUUAGGUUUACGCAUAAUAAUAGUGAUAAUGAGGUCACUUAAAUACAGAUUGCCUGGUGUUUUUCAUGCAGGGUCUAUAACAACAACAUUCCUCCAGCAAAGAAAGCAUAAUAUUAUUAUCAUUUUUGUGUUUUCAGCUGAACACUUGAUUUUGCUUGAACUCAGCAAGAUAUCCAAACAGGAAAAAUAAGGCAAAGUAGUUUUAUUAAAACUUAUUCUGAGUAGAAUUGCCUGACGGGGUUGAAAGCGAAGGCAAAUAACAGUGUCGGUCAAAAAUUGGCAGGCAUUUUUAACAGUAAAAGGUUCAAAAAGUAAACAAUAAUAAUAGAUACAGAUGAAAUAAAGACAUGCAUUAGGUUCAUUUUUGAGACUGAUGCAAAUUAAUGUCAAAAUGUCACUGAAAAACAAUACCGAGUGUUUAAGUAGUCUUAGAAUAUGUCUCCGGAACAGGUUUCGGUGUGAUUUUCCAGCAUUUACCCCCCUUAUUACCCCAAGUGCUACAGCCCAAUUGCAAACAGCCCUAAUUUGGGUCAAAAUGACAUCUGGCAGUUAUGUUUUGCAAUACAGAGAGUUUUUGAUGGUCAAUUGUCAAAAUUCUGGCAGACGACUAACUUGGUCGGAAGUUCUUAAAGAGAACCCAACCCCUUCAAAUUUAUAUAAAAGGCACUUUUCCCACAGGUAUAAUCUGUUUUGAGAAAAAUCACAAAGUUCCGAUACAAUGACACACAGAUUUAUUCAUAAAAGUUGCCGUUGAAAGCGUCAUGCAUAACAGCGUUUCGCGUCAAGAAUUAUGGUAGAAAAGCCAAACUUGGUUUC